CCAGCUGUUAAACACAGGGCUGCAUACAAGAUCUUUUUUCAUGAAACAAUAUGGAGAAGAAUCCAACCCGUGGAGAUUCAUGGUAACAUCCACUGACAGCUUUAAAUGCUUUCAUUUAUUGUCCAGAUUUCUUCAUCCUUGCUUUGAUCUGUCACUACAUUUGGAAGAAACAAUCUAACUCAAGCAUUUGUUUUCCAGUCAGUGACUGAGGAGGGGCACGUUAAGCGCAACAUCCGUCCAAUUUCCUGCCUAGAUGAUCUGAACAUGGUGGGACACCUCCUUAAGGUUCAGUUCAAUAUGAGCAAGUAUUCAGAACCAGUUCAGAUGAUCUUAUGGUUUAGUUUUCUCUGCUCCCACCAUAGAUGGGUUGGAAAGUCUUGGGAGAAGAUGCGGACGCAGACAGCUGUGACCAGACCAUCUUCAUCCAGCUCAUACGUCAAAUGCUGAAGGUGGAUCCUGCUGAAAGAAUCAAACCAAACCAAAUUCUUCAGCACCAAUUUGUCACCAUGAGCCACCUGGUGGACAAAUUUGGUAACAGCUUCCAGUAAUGUGAAAUCCUGUGUGGAGUACAUGCGAAAUGUGCAGGGUGACCAUCAGUAAUGGAGAUGAGGCUCAGUUGAGCCUUAGCACUUGCCAGGCUGAGGGUCCUUCCAUCAUGGGUCAGUCUGAUAGAAGAAAAGCUAAGAAGAGACCAAGAGGCACUGAUGAUGAUGAUGAUGAAGACUGCAAAAUGUAAGCUAAUUAGCCAUUGACUCUAGCACUACUAAUGAGUGCAUCUCCCACAAAAGAAG
This is an RNA transcript of Melanotaenia boesemani (Boeseman's rainbowfish), 791 nucleotides long. It is a transcript of the gene named homeodomain-interacting protein kinase 1-like, with no coding region annotated. Lineage: Eukaryota; Metazoa; Chordata; Actinopteri; Atheriniformes; Melanotaeniidae. The record is from RefSeq and is a predicted model, not a curated record. The transcript has 2 exons.